CUGAGGGUUCCAGAAGGCUUAAAGGGUGCUGAGUGUUAACUAUCUAAGAAGUGAUGUAUUCAGAGCCCACGUAAGAGACAUCAGUCUAGGUUCUAGGGAUACAGUAGUGAACAAAAUGAAAUUUCACCUGGAGCUUAUUCUCACCUCUGUUAAGGUGACACUUGAAAAUGAGGGAGAAAACUAGACACAGACACCUGGCCGAAGAGCAUUCCACACAGAGGGAACAGCAAGAGAAGAUGUGCUGAGGUGGGAGCAUACGCGGAGAGUCUGAGGACCAUCAAGGAUACCAAUAUGGCUGGAACAGAGGGUGCAAGGUGAAGAGAGGGAACAUUGUGCCCACCACCCAGGCACUCCCCAGGAGGAAGUACAGCCUCAGGAGAAGACCCCAAGAUAAGAGUGAGAGUAACCGAGUUUGAUACUGGCUUUCCCACUUGCUAGCUUUGUGACCGGCCUCUGCCUCAGUGUCCUUACCUGUUAAAGGAACUAGAAGAAAAGCUCUACCCCAUGGGCUCCUGGUGAGGAUGAAACCAAGUUAUAUAGAUGAAGUGCUUCCAACUGUGACUGACAAAUAAUACAUGGUGGAAGACAAGUCCUUGCCCUCUCUCCCCACGGCAAAGCCCUGUGACUAAUCCUGGUCACUGAAAUGUAGCAAGAGGAGAAGUUUGCCCCUAAGACAUGGUCCUCCAUGCGCCUUCUCUGUUCAUCGGAAAGCUGGUCACCGAGGGCACAGCCUAGGACUUCAGGAGUUUAUACUAUCCUGGGUAAAAUCGGCACAUGAACGCCAAAUGAUACUACAGGACAGUUUGAUAUACAUGCCCCAAGGAGGUAAAACAGGAAUGUCAAGGGAUUGCAGAGGCCAAAGGAAAGUAUAAUAAAAGCAAAGAUAAUAACAAUAUUUAUGGAGUGCUUGUUAUGUGCCAAGAGUUGAGAUGAGGAAAAGUGAAUCAGGGGAGAGCUGAAGUGAUUGAUGUACUCCGAUUGUUGGUCGAAGGAUAGAUAGAAGAGAAAGCAUCACAGAAGAUCAAUACUUUUUUCAUCUUAUAACCCUUGAACCACGGACGUUCAAAUUAAUUCAAUCCAAGAAAGCGGUCAUGGGAACCUCUGACUUUUAGCCAUUUGAUCAGAAGCACAGGAAGAGGAAGAGACCCCAGGAGUGUGCAUGCACGAGGAAAGGCCUUGUGAGGACACAGUGAGAAGGGGCCACCUACAAGCCAGGAAGAGAUUCUCAGCAGAAAUCAAGCCUGAUGUCACCUUGAACUUUAACUUCCAGCCUCCAGUACUCUGUUGGUAAAAUCUUGAGGCCCCUUUCCCCAAGGGAAGUUUGCUGCUUGCUGGAAAGCUGAAGUUGCUUACAGUCAAGAACACGUUCUGUCUCACAUAAAAGCCUAAAAUCAUGGAGGAGCCAAUGUUAAGUGUUCCAGGGAGAAUGGGAGAGAAGAGUGCCUUUGAAGAACAUGA
This is a long non-coding RNA of Balaenoptera acutorostrata (minke whale), 1458 nucleotides long. RefSeq lists it as uncharacterized. The transcript is spliced from 8 exons. Lineage: Eukaryota; Metazoa; Chordata; Mammalia; Artiodactyla; Balaenopteridae. The record is from RefSeq and is a predicted model, not a curated record.